RNAcentral lists this long non-coding RNA (1591 nucleotides) under Pan troglodytes (chimpanzee). RNAcentral's name for it is "long non-coding RNA NONPTRT000176". The record is from RNAcentral. Lineage: Eukaryota; Metazoa; Chordata; Mammalia; Primates; Hominidae.
GUUUUAACAUUUGCAGCACUUUGGCCUCCAGAGUUUCUCCUUAGAAGGGUUUUAAACUGUUGACCAAGGACUUCGGUUUCCAUAGGACUUUAAAGGAAAAUCCCCCUCCUGCCAUCCUCUUAUGACACUAGGACGUAUUCAUAACCUGCUUGGUUCAUGGGCUGGGGAAGUACCUAUCAGAUAGUGGAUGUGAAGCAGCCUUGAAGAAUGGAACUUUUAUUAACAUGCGAGGAAGCCAGUGGAGAGAUUUGCUACUCCCACAGAGUGAUAUCCCUUCUUAACCCCUUCCCCUGCUUCAGAACCUCCUUUCCCAAGAACCAGCCCCACUAGGAUCACCGUCAACUCCCUCCCAGUUUACCUUUUCUGGCCCCACGUUAUCUCUGCGGGGCAGGGGUCAUGGGAUGAACCCUGGAUAGAAGUCAGCAGAUGUCAGUAACUGCAGUAAUACAGUGAUAUUGUCUAGUAAUGUGAGCUGAAAGGAAGGAUCCUGAGGUGAGGGAGAGGGAGGGAAUUCCAGGGAAAGGCACUGUUGUGUGGAAUAGCAUGGAUUCAGGGUGGGGUUGUAUGAUGGGAGGUUGGGAACAGGGAGCUGAUAUUAGAGGAGUGCUGGAGCAAGGUCACUGAGGACCUCACAUGUGAAUGGAGUGUCAACACCAGGCCCGGGGCAAUGUUCAGAUGUGCAUGGUUGAAAUCUGACAGCUGAAUGGAACUUGGACAUGCUGCAAUUAGGAUGGCCUGUUGGGACACUGUUGUGGUAUUUCAGCUAAAGGCUAGGGUCUGAACUAGAGCAGUGGUGACACUGAGGAGGAGGGAAUGAAUGGGAAAGGUCUCAGAGGCAGAUGGGAGGGCAUCAGAGGAAAGCUAGAAUGCCUUUGGUGACUGGGUAGAGCAUGUCCUCAUUCAGAAUUGGGAGCACAAGGAGGAGAGGCUGAUAGAGCAGGAGGGCAGAAGAUGAGAAGUUUAGUUUGGUAUGUCUAGAACUUGAGGUGCUUAAGGGAAAUCAUGGUGAUGCUAUGCAUUUGGAUGUCGGCUAGCAGCUAGGGGAGAGGCUAGGACUAGAGAUCUGUGUAUGCGAAGUAGUUAAACUAAUGAGAAAGGAAGAAUUUCAGUUUCAAAUAUUGGGCCUAGGACAGAGCUACUUGAUAGUGCUGAAUGGAGAGGAAGAUGGCCCUCAAAGGAGAUCUAGACCAUUCCCCACUCCCAUACACUACCAUCAUGUUCUGGACCCUGUCUUCCUUGUUACUGACCCCUGAAUUCUUCAUGUAGCCCUGAGUUUUCUGGAGCCCUCACUGUGGAAGUCAAGCUGAGCUCUGUGUGGAUGUGAGGUGGUAGUCCUCUCUCCACCUGGUCACCCUUUCCCCUGGGUUUGGUAGUGUUUUAGUGUCUCAUAUCUUUAGUGAACAGUUUUGAUGUUUGUUAUCUGCCAUUCUUGUCUCAUGAAUCUUAAUAGAGGUUCAGUCAUGAAAGCAAGGCCAGUGUGGGCCAGGUGAGAAAAUGGCCCAGGUGGUCCCUUCCUCCUUGUCUACCUGACUUCCUUUGGAAGAAGCACUCUUUCAGGGGGCUUCAGUGUUCCAGGCUUGCUGUCUACCCA